This is a long non-coding RNA of Xiphophorus maculatus (southern platyfish), 350 nucleotides long. RefSeq lists it as uncharacterized. The record is from RefSeq and is a predicted model, not a curated record. The transcript has 4 exons. NCBI's taxonomy places the organism in Eukaryota, Metazoa, Chordata, Actinopteri, Cyprinodontiformes, Poeciliidae.
AAUCGCCUGCUGCCCAUGCCAUCUCGUUAAGUCAGGGUGGCCUAUUUGAAAAUAAGAAGAGAAAGGGUUGCCGGAAAUGUAGCAGACAAAAGGUGUUCCUGUUUGACUCAAUCACUGGGCAUAGGACUAAUGCGGGCAAAGAGGAAGUAAAAAUUCAUUGGUUGCCCUGCUCUGCUUGCGGGAAAAUCUGGGAUGACACCUGGGAACCUGCAAGUGAAUUCACACAUGUUGCUGUCCCCCAAGAGCUUCUUCCUUCAGACAGCAAACAAGUCCUUCCAUGAUGUUGCUCUUUCUUUUUUUGUGUUACAAAGUUGUAAUUUCCAUUUUUCUAUAACUGCAGUUUGACUAUA